RNAcentral lists this ribosomal RNA (433 nucleotides) under uncultured bacterium. Its description in RNAcentral is "partial 16S ribosomal RNA". It matches the Rfam family "Bacterial small subunit ribosomal RNA", at positions 29 to 507 of the family's 1533-position model. The record is from RNAcentral.
AACGAACGCUGGCGGCAUGCCUAACACAUGCAAGUCGAACGAGACCUUCGGGUCUAGUGGCGCACGGGUGCGUAACGCGUGGGAACCUGCCCUUAGGUUCGGAAUAACUCCCCGAAAGGGGUGCUAAUACCGGAUAAUGUCUUCGGACCAAAGAUUUAUCGCCUUUGGAUGGGCCCGCGUUGGAUUAGCUAGUUGGUAGGGUAAAAGCCUACCAAGGCGACGAUCCAUAGCUGGUCUGAGAGGAUGAUCAGCCACACUGGGACUGAGACACGGCCCAGACUCCUACGGGAGGCAGCAGUAGGGAAUAUUGGACGAUGAACGAAAGCCUGAGCCACCCAGGCCGCGUGGGUGAUGAAGGCCUUAGGAUUGUAAAGCUCUUUUACCCAGGAUGAUAAUGACAGUGCCGGGGGAAUAAGCUCCGGCUAACUCCGUG